AUGCUUGACCCUAGGUUCGACAAGCAUCACCGUGCCCGUUUCAUUGAGAAUGGAGUGAUGUUGCCGCCACUGCGGAUGAGGGCUCACAAGACGACGGUUAAGAUGGAGUACGACGAUCGGUACGCACCGUUCUUCAGGAGAGCCCGACUAUUGGGUUUCGUCCUGCAGUUCAAGCAUAAGCUGCCGACGCUCGUUCACUCAGCUCUCACGGCUUUGAUCGACCGGUGGCGGCCAGAGAUGCACAGCUUUCAUCUUCCAUGCGGGGAGAUGACCGUGACCCUCGAGGAUUGGGCGAUGAUUACGGCACUACCGCUGGAAAACACGCAAAGACACGGAGAGGAGAGUGAUUGA
Molecule: ribosomal RNA, 351 nt
Filed under: Triticum aestivum (bread wheat)
Lineage: Eukaryota; Viridiplantae; Streptophyta; Magnoliopsida; Poales; Poaceae
Description: partial small subunit ribosomal RNA
Source: RNAcentral